Molecule: transfer RNA, 71 nt
Filed under: Dipodomys ordii (Ord's kangaroo rat)
Lineage: Eukaryota; Metazoa; Chordata; Mammalia; Rodentia; Heteromyidae
Rfam family: tRNA
About the family: Transfer RNA (tRNA) molecules are approximately 80 nucleotides in length. Their secondary structure includes four short double-helical elements and three loops (D, anti-codon, and T loops). Further hydrogen bonds mediate the characteristic L-shaped molecular structure. tRNAs have two regions of fundamental functional importance: the anti-codon, which is responsible for specific mRNA codon recognition, and the 3' end, to which the tRNAs corresponding amino acid is attached (by aminoacyl-tRNA synthetases). tRNAs cope with the degeneracy of the genetic code in two manners: having more than one tRNA (with a specific anti-codon) for a particular amino acid; and 'wobble' base-pairing, i.e. permitting non-standard base-pairing at the 3rd anti-codon position.
Source: Rfam by way of RNAcentral
GGGAAUGUGGCUUAGUGGUAGAGUACUUGCCUAGCAAUGCAUGAAGGCCUAGGUUCGAUUCCUCAGUACCA